UGGGGAAUUUUGGACAAUGGGCGCAAGCCUGAUCCAGCCAUGCCGCGUGCGGGAAGAAGGCCUUCGGGUUGUAAACCGCUUUUGUCAGGGAAGAAAUCUUCUGAGUUAGUACCUCGGGAGGAUGACGGUACCUGAAGAAUAAGCACCGGCUAACUACGUGCCAGCAGCCGCGGUAAUACGUAGGGUGCAAGCGUUAAUCGGAAUUACUGGGCGUAAAGCGUGCGCAGGCGGUUUUGUAAGACAGAGGUGAAAUCCCCGGGCUCAACCUGGGAACUGCCUUUGUGACUGCAAGGCUUGAGUGCGGCAGAGGGGGGAUGGAAUUCCGCGUGUAGCAGUGAAAUGCGUAGAUAUGCGGAGGAACACCGAUGGCGAAGGCAAUCCCCUGGGCCUGCACUGACGCUCAUGCACGAAAGCGUGGGAGACAAAUAGGAUUAGAUACCCUGGUAGUCCACGCCCUAAACGAUGUCAACUGGUUGUUGGGAAGGUUCCUUCUCCAGUAAACGUAGCUAACGCGUGAAGUUGGACCGCCUGGGGAGUACGGCCGCAAGGUUGAAAACUUAAAAUGAAUUGACGGGGUCAUAGCUGUUUCCU
Molecule: ribosomal RNA, 591 nt
Filed under: uncultured bacterium
Lineage: Bacteria
Description: partial 16S ribosomal RNA
Rfam family: Bacterial small subunit ribosomal RNA
Source: RNAcentral